GACGAACGCUGGCGGCGUGCUUAACACAUGCAAGUCGAACGGAAAGGCCCUGCUUUUGUGGGGUGCUCGAGUGGCGAACGGGUGAGUAACACGUGAGUAACCUGCCCUUGACUUUGGGAUAACUUCAGGAAACUGGGGCUAAUACCGGAUAGGAGCUCCUGCUGCAUGGUGGGGGUUGGAAAGUUUCGGCGGUUGGGGAUGGACUCGGGGCUUAUCAGCUUGUUGGUGGGGUAGUGGCUUACCAAGGCUUUGACGGGUAGCCGGCCUGGGAGGGUGACCGGGCACAUUGGGACUGGGAUACGGCCCGGACUCAUACGGGAGGAAGGAGUGGGGACUAUUGCAAAAUGGGCGGAAGCCUGAUGCAGCAACGCCGCGUGCGGGAUGACGGCCUUCGGGUUGUAAACCGCUUUCGCCUGUGACGAAGCGUGAGUGACGGUAAUGGGUAAAGAAGACCGGCUAACUACGUG
Molecule: ribosomal RNA, 467 nt
Filed under: uncultured bacterium
Lineage: Bacteria
Description: partial 16S ribosomal RNA
Rfam family: Bacterial small subunit ribosomal RNA
Source: RNAcentral